CCCAGAGCGGCAGGAGAGAGCAGUGUCUCCUGGACCCACCUGUGUCUCCCUGAAGAGUGACUACUCUAUGGAUCCACCUGUCACAUUUAAAGAUGGAAAUCAAUCUAUUGAGAAGAGGUGAGUAUUUAUCAGAGAUUACAAAAAUACAGCUUCUAUCAAACCUCCUUAAAUCCUCCUGGUUCUUUAUUUUCUAGAAGACUCCAGCAGGAGAGAGCACACUCCCCUGGAACCAGCUGUGUCUUUCCGAAGAGUGAACGCUCUAUGGAUAGACCUCCUGAAUUGAAAGAUGGACACCCCUCCAGAAAGAAGAGACAACACCAGAAGAGGUCAAAGGUUACUAGUGCUCAAUCUGUACAGCAGCAUCAAACAGAGCUGAUCAAGAGGGCUGAGGAGAAUGCACACGCUUUUCUAGACAAAGAGCUGAAGAAGCUCUGGAGGGUUCUCUACCCCGAUUACCCACAAUGCGAG
Molecule: long non-coding RNA, 468 nt
Organism: Gadus chalcogrammus (walleye pollock)
Lineage: Eukaryota; Metazoa; Chordata; Actinopteri; Gadiformes; Gadidae
Exons: 3
Source: RefSeq, a predicted model, not a curated record